CGUGCUAAUCUGCGAUAAGCGCCGGUAAGGUGAUAUGAACCGUUAUAACCGGCGAUUUCCGAAUGGGGAAACCCAGUGUGACUCGUCACACUAUCAUUAACUGAAUCCAUAGGUUAAUGAGGCGAACCGGGGGAACUGAAACAUCUAAGUACCCCGAGGAAAAGAAAUCAACCGAGAUUCCCCCAGUAGCGGCGAGCGAACGGGGAGGAGCCCAGAGCCUGAAUCAGCAUGUGUGUUAGUGGAAGCGUCUGGAAAGGCGCGCGAUACAGGGUGACAGCCCCGUACACAAAAGCGCAUGUGCUGUGAGCUCGAUGAGUAGGGCGGGACACGUGGUAUCCUGUCUGAAUAUGGGGGGACCAUCCUCCAAGGCUAAAUACUCCUGACUGACCGAUAGUGAACCAGUACCGUGAGGGAAAGGCGAAAAGAACCCCGGCGAGGGGAGUGAAAAAGAACCUGAAACCGU
This 463-nucleotide ribosomal RNA is filed under the name Salmonella enterica subsp. enterica serovar Infantis. Its description in RNAcentral is "partial 23S ribosomal RNA". It matches the Rfam family "Bacterial large subunit ribosomal RNA", at positions 57 to 559 of the family's 2925-position model. The record is from RNAcentral. RNAcentral also lists the same sequence under 6 other names. Lineage: Bacteria; Pseudomonadati; Pseudomonadota; Gammaproteobacteria; Enterobacterales; Enterobacteriaceae.